Molecule: ribosomal RNA, 1221 nt
Filed under: Triticum aestivum (bread wheat)
Lineage: Eukaryota; Viridiplantae; Streptophyta; Magnoliopsida; Poales; Poaceae
Description: partial small subunit ribosomal RNA
Source: RNAcentral
GGCGAAGGCGCCGGCGGCGGCGGGCAGCUCUGUAGGCACCUCUCCAUCCAGAUACUGGACCUGUCAAACAACGGGCUCACCGGAGAUCUCCCGGACUGCUGGUGCAACUUCCACGCGCUGAUGUUCAUGGUCCUAUCGAACAACCGUCUCACCGGCAAGCUCCCGGACUGCUGGUGGAACCUGGAGGCUCUGAUUUUCAUGGAUCUAUCCAACAACUCCUUCUCAAGUAAAAUCCCCGCAGCCGUGGCAAGCCACAACUACUCUCUUAUGUCUCUUUACCUUGCUGGAAAUGGCUUCGUUGGUCCCUUCCCGAUGGUUCUAGAGGGUUGCAACUCGCUGGCCACCCUGGACAUGGGGAAUAACAAGUUCUUUGGUGUUAUCCCUCCAUGGAUCGGGAGUCAGAUCCCAUUGUUGAGAAUACUUAGCCUGAAAUCAAACAAUUUCACUGGAAAAAUUCCUCUAGAGUUAUCACACCUUUCACAACUUCAGCUGCUCAACAUGGCAAACAAUAGCUUGACCGGCUCGAUUCCGGUAGCCUUCGGCAGCUUGACCUCCAUGAUGCAUCCACAAAAUCUAUCGGCUACAGACCCGUCUAACAAGUUUAGUUACUAUGGUAGAAUCGACAUAACCUGGAAGGGCCAAGAGCUAAUUUUCCAAAGAACACUCAGUUUACUAACGGGUAUUGAUUUGUCGGACAAUUUGCUGUCCCGGUGCAUCCCUGAAAAGCUAAACAACCUUCAGGGCCUUCGCUUUCUAAACCUAACAAGAAACCAUCUGUCAUGCGGCAUUCCUGAAGAUAUUGGUAGUUUGAAAUUUCUUGAGAUCUUAGAUCUAUCAUCUAAUGAACUUUCUGGAGCCAUUCCUUCGAGCAUCACGAGCAUAUCUGGGCUCAGCGCGUUAAAUGUCUCAAACAAUUUUCUGUCAGGCAAGAUACCGGUUGGGAGACAAAUUCAGACCCUAACAGACCCAUUGAUUUACUCCAACAACUCUGGGCUUUGUGGGCUUCCUCUGGACACUCCAUGUGCAGAUACUUCAAUUGUACCGGAUGAGACAGAUGGUGAAGGGGAGGACCAGUGGAUGUACUAUUUUGUGAUUGAUGGGAUUGUGUUUGGUUCCUGGAUAUGGUUUGGGAUGCUCUUUACAAUUGAUACCUGGAGAUGUGCUUUUCUCUUCUUUGUCGAUGGCAUGCAAUGUAAGAUGAUGAAGAAGGUGUGACAUUAG